This 460-nucleotide ribosomal RNA is filed under the name uncultured bacterium. Its description in RNAcentral is "partial 16S ribosomal RNA". It matches the Rfam family "Bacterial small subunit ribosomal RNA", at positions 338 to 795 of the family's 1533-position model. The record is from RNAcentral.
CCUACGGGUGGCAGCAGUGAGGAAUAUUGGUCAAUGGGCGCGAGCCUGAACCAGCCAAGUAGCGUGAAGGAUGACUGCCCUACGGGUUGUAAACUUCUUUUAUAAAGGAAUAAAGUGAGUCACGUGUGCCUUUUUUUAUGUCCUUUAUGAAUGAUGAUCGGCUAACUCCGUUCAAGCAGCCGCGGUAAUCCGGAGGAUCCGAGCGUUAGCCGGCUUUCUUGGGUUUAAAGGGAGCGUAGAUGGAUUGGUAAGUCAGUUGUGAAAGUUUGCGUCUCAACCGUAAAAUUGCAAUUGAUACUGGCAGUCUGGAGUACAGUGGAGGCAGGCGGAAUUCGUGGUGUAGCGGUGAAAUGCUUAGAUAUCACGAAGAACUCCGAUUGCGAAGGCAGCUUACUAAACUGCAACUGACAUUGAUGCUCGAAAGUGUGGGUAUCAAACAGGAUUAGAUACCCGAGUAGUC